This is a small nucleolar RNA of Tachyglossus aculeatus (Australian echidna), 138 nucleotides long. NCBI's taxonomy places the organism in Eukaryota, Metazoa, Chordata, Mammalia, Monotremata, Tachyglossidae. The record is from RefSeq and is a predicted model, not a curated record.
CCCCUCUCAGGGUCACACCUGGAGAGUUUCCAGUAUUGUACCAGACUCGGCUAGGGGAGGGUUAGUCGAGCAGAGGCCUACCCAUUCCAUUCCUAGCUUGGGCAGUAGCUAGCGAGUGGAAGGCAAUCUGCUACAAGU